RNAcentral lists this long non-coding RNA (1056 nucleotides) under Canis lupus familiaris (dog). RNAcentral's name for it is "lncRNA (ENSCAFG00030023191.1)". Lineage: Eukaryota; Metazoa; Chordata; Mammalia; Carnivora; Canidae. The record is from RNAcentral.
AUGGGGUCUGGGGCUGGUCAGAGCACAGAACCCUGGCAGAGGGGUUUGGGCAGCUGCUCGAAGGCGGCCCUCCCACUCCCGCCCCCCACCCCCCCAUGGCUUUGCCAUUGCCACUGUGGCAGCUGCGCAGUGUCAGUCUGGGCCCCAAGGCCAGCCCAAGUACAGCUGAGAGUCCCUGGGCAAGUCCUACAGAGACCCUCUCCGGCCUCCCAGUCCCCGUGGGGUGGGGGGCGAUGGGGGAGUGCGGGUGGUUCGGGCCCUCCACCCCCUGACAGCGACCCCGCCUGCUCCGCGGGGCGCCUCGCACUCACCUUGAAACGCCUGGGCCCCCCGCAGCGGCAAAGGCAGCCUCAGGAACAGCAGCAGCAACAGCCACGCCCGCGACCCUCGAGCUCUCGGAGGCCCCGGCCCAUAGCUGUGCGCGCCUCGGCCUCCACGCGGCCGCUCCCGGCUCCUGCUCCGCCCGGGCUGGCUCCCGGCCGACCCACACCCAGAGCCGCCCGCCCGCCGCCUCCCGACCCCCCAGCGCCGCCCCGCACGGAGCCCCGCAGCCCGGCCGCCGGACCUCGUGCGCCCUCGGGGGGCCGCCGCGGCCGUCAAGGGUGGGAGCCCCCGCUGCAUCCGUGCGGCCCCUCGGGGACCCGCGCGCGCCGGCCGCCGGUACGUCUCAGCGCCCUCUCCUCGCGGGGGCGGAGCGGGGGUGGAGUGGGGCUGGGGCGGGGCCCCUCGGAGGAGCCUCUGAGGGCCACGGGGUGCGGGGGAGACCAGGGCUGGGGGCCCCCCGCGGCUGCUCGGGUCUGCGCAGGGAGCGCCCCCUUCCGCGGUCUCCGGCGAGGACCUCUGCCCCGCCUGGCCCCCAGUCCUGCUCAGGGGGGCCCGGCCAGGGCCCGGCGGGAGAUGCCUCGGGCGGGGGGCGGGCACCCGCGAGGGCGAGGGGCAGGUGCCGCGGCGUCUCGGGCUCGCGUCCGCGUGGCGGUGGCCGCCUGCCCCGGUGCCCGCGUCGCGGAGGGGGGCGGGGGCGCCGCCGCGCUGCGGGCUCGGUCCCGGCAGAGGUGA